GGGAAAGAUAAUGACUGUACCCGAAGAAUAAGGUCCGGCUAACUUCGUGCCAGCAGCCGCGGUAAUACGAAGGGACCUAGCGUAAUUCGGAAUUACUGGGCGUAAAGCGCGCGUAGGCGGUUAAGUAAGUUAAUUGCGAAAGCCCAAAGCUCAACUUUGGAAUUGCAAUUAAAACUACUUAGCUAGAGUUUAUCAGAGGAAAGCGGAAUACAUAGUGUAGAGGUGAAAUUCGUAGAUAUUAUGUAGAACACCAGUUGCGAAGGCGGCUUUCUGGGAUAACACUGACGCUGAGGUGCGAAAGUAUGGGUAGCGAAGAGGAUUAGAUACCCUCGUAGUCCAUACCGUAAACGAUGAUUGUUAGAUGUUGGAAAUUUAUUUUCAGUAUCACAGCUAACGCGUUAAACAAUCCGCCUGGGGAGUACGACCGCAAGGUUAAAACUCAAAUGAAUUGACGGGGACCCGCACAAGCGGUGGAGCAUGUGGUUUAAUUCGAAGCUACGCGCAGAACCUUACCAACACUUGACAUGUCUGUCGCGGAUUCCAGAAAUGGAUUCCUUCGGUUCGGCCGGACAGAACACAGGUGCUGCAUGGCUGUCGUCAGCUCGUGUCGUGAGAUGUUGGGUUAAGUCCCGCAACGAGCGCAACCCCUACUUCUAGUUGCCAUCAGGUUAAGCUGGGCACUCUAGUAGGACUGCCUGUGAUAAGCAGGAGGAAGGUUGGGAUGACGUCAAGUCCUCAUGGCCCUUACGUGUUGGGCUACACACGUGCUACAAUGGCAGUGACAAUGAGAUGCUAAACAGCGAUGUUAAGCUAAACUCAAAAACCUGCCUCAGUUCGGAUUGCACUCUGCAACUCGAGUGCAUGAAGCUGGAAUCGCUAGUAAUCGCUCAUCAGCGCGGAGCGGUGAAUACGUUCCCGGGUCUUGUACACACCGCCCGUCACACCAUGGAAGUUGGUUUUACCUUAAGGCAUAUCACUAACCCUCGGGAAGUGCGUGACCACGGUAUGGUCGGCGACUGGGGUG
RNAcentral lists this ribosomal RNA (1024 nucleotides) under uncultured bacterium. Its description in RNAcentral is "bacterial SSU rRNA". It matches the Rfam family "Bacterial small subunit ribosomal RNA", at positions 441 to 1482 of the family's 1533-position model. The record is from RNAcentral.